ACCGGGUAAGUGCUACACGGCAUGCUCCUUUCGAACCCCCCAGGGCCUGACCGCAGCAAGGGUAGAAAGUUGUAGCGGCGCGAUGUGGUCAGCUUACCCACC
RNAcentral lists this signal recognition particle RNA (102 nucleotides) under fish gut metagenome. RNAcentral describes it as "Bacteroidales small SRP". It matches the Rfam family "Bacteroidales small SRP". Rfam says of the family: The non-coding component of the signal recognition particle in Bacteroides The record is from RNAcentral.